CUGCGUUAGCGAUUGUAGUGGCAUCCUUUUUAUGUAAACGGAAUUUUUAAAUAAAAGAAUAAGUUUAAAUGAAUUCUAAAUUUACAAAUGAACUCUAAAAUUUUAUUCAUAAAAAGAUAUAACGGAAAGCGCGCCGCUUG
This 140-nucleotide small RNA is filed under the name Polaribacter sp. KT25b. RNAcentral's name for it is "Flavo-1 RNA". The record is from RNAcentral. Lineage: Bacteria; Pseudomonadati; Bacteroidota; Flavobacteriia; Flavobacteriales; Flavobacteriaceae.